UUAUACAGAGAAACCGCUGUCGAGUCUGAUAAAAAAAUUUGGUCUUCUCAUGCUCCACAGCGUUUCUCUGUAUAACC
Molecule: non-coding RNA, 77 nt
Organism: Solanum tuberosum (potato)
Lineage: Eukaryota; Viridiplantae; Streptophyta; Magnoliopsida; Solanales; Solanaceae
Source: RefSeq, marked provisional